GAUGAACGCUGGCGGCGCGCCUAACACAUGCAAGUCGAACGAUUAAAGCACCUUCGGGUGUGUAUAAAGUGGCGAACGGCUGAGUAACACGUGGGCAACCUGCCCCUUUCAUUGGGAUAGCCACGGGAAACCGUGGAUAAUACCGAAUACUUCGAGACUUCCGCAUGGAAGACUCGAGAAAGCUCCGGCGGAGAGGGAUGGGCCCGCGGCCUGUUAGCUUGUUGGUGGGGUAACGGCCUACCAAGGCAAUGAUGGGUAGCUGGGUUGAGAGACCGACCAGCCAGAUUGGGACUGAGACACGGCCCAGACUCCUACGGGAGGCAGCAGUGGGGAAUCUUGCACAAUGGGCGAAAGCCUGAAGCAGCGACGCCGCGUGCGGGAUGAAGGCCUUCGGGUUGUAAACCGCUUUCAGCAGGGACGAGGCGAAAGUGACGGUACCUGCAGAAGAAGCCCCGGCUAACUACGUG
RNAcentral lists this ribosomal RNA (467 nucleotides) under uncultured bacterium. Its description in RNAcentral is "partial 16S ribosomal RNA". It matches the Rfam family "Bacterial small subunit ribosomal RNA", at positions 28 to 507 of the family's 1533-position model. The record is from RNAcentral.